Molecule: ribosomal RNA, 1242 nt
Filed under: Triticum aestivum (bread wheat)
Lineage: Eukaryota; Viridiplantae; Streptophyta; Magnoliopsida; Poales; Poaceae
Description: partial small subunit ribosomal RNA
Source: RNAcentral
AUGGACCUUUUACAACAAUAUUUCAAUCCGGUAGAUGUCGAGCAGAUUGUUAAAAUUCGGACUUCUCCACGGCUAGAAGAGGAUGUCCUUGCUUGGGAACCGGAGUGUAAUGGUAUCUUCACGGUUCGGAGCGUGUACCGGCUUGCACUUGAUGAACGUCUUCGUCCAUCUUCAGUCGCGGCGAGCAGGGCACCGGAUGGGCGACGAGCCGUCUGGGGUUUUUUAUGGAGGUGCCCUGCUCCUCCUAAGGUGCGUGUGUUUGCUUGGCGGGUGGCGACGAACUGUCUGGCCACAUGGACUAAUAAACAUGCUCGUAGCCUUGAAGUAUCUAACUUGUGUCAUGUGUGUGCUACCGAACCGGAGGACACUUUUCAUGCUCUCUGCAGAUGUCCUCAUGCGAUCACCUUGUGGCAAGCUAUGGCGCGGCAAUGGAAUAUUCCGGACAUCCGUCGAGUAAUGCACACUGGGCCAGAGUGGCUUUUUCAUGUGCUCGCGGACUUGUCACCAGAGGAGAGGAUGUAUACGCUCAUGACGAUUUGGCGUUGCUGGCAUGUGAGGAAUGAGAUCGUCCACGACAAACGACCACCGCCGGUCGAAGCCUCGACCAGAUUCCUAUCCAGCUAUAUCAACUCAUUGCUAGCCAUCCAGGCGUACCCUCAUGGAGAUCACAUCAAAGGAAAAAUGGUGGCUGCACCUUUGUAUAGCAGAAAAUUGUUAUCACAUGUAGAGCGUGAGAAGCCAUCAGCACUUGGGUGGGAGGCACCGCCGGCCGGCUGGGCUGCGCUCAACAUUGACGGGUCCUUUUCUGCCAAGGACGGAACUGCAGGAGCUGGCAUGGUCCUCCGGGAUGAACAUGGAGAUAUUAUUUUUUCGUCUUGCCGUGAGUUAAGGCAGUGUGCAUCACCACUAGAAUCUGAACUUGCUGCAUGUUCAGAAGGCAUCUCCCUGGCUACCCAGUGGUCUGAGCUGCCUUUUGUGAUUCAAACGGACUGCGCAGAAGUGGUAAAACUAAUUGAAGGAGAUACUGGUGACCAAUCGGAGCAUAUGAUGUUGAUCCGCGAGAUUACUUCGCGUCUUCGGGAACAUGGGGAAUUCUUAGUUAAGCUUGUGAGGCGUGAACAAAACGCUGUUAGUCAUUUUUUAGCGAACUUUGGUCGAAUAAAGAAGCGCACAGCGUUGUGGCUUCAUUCUGGGCCGGACGAGGUUCCGGACCUUUGUAAUGCAGACAUGGCUGUCACUUAA